CCAAUAGCGUAUAUUAAAGUUGCUGCAGUUAAAAAGCUCGUAGUUGAAUUUCGGGACCAUCAUGUCGGUCGUGCCUCGGUACGUACUGGUAUUGUUGGUUUCUCCCUUCUGACGAACCAUGAUGCAAUUUAUUUGGUGUUGUGGGGAAUCAGGACUGUUACUUUGAAAAAAUUAGAGUGUUUAAAGCAGGCUCACGCUUGCAUACCUUAGCAUGGAAUAAUGAAAUAGGACGUUUGAUUCUAUUUUGUUGGUUUCUAGGAUUGACGUAAUGAUUAAUAGGGAUAGUUGGGGGCAUUAGUAUUCAAUUGUUAGAGGUGAAAUUCUUGGAUUUAUUGAAGACUAACUACUGCGAAAGCAUUUGCCAAGGAUGUUUUCAUUAAUCAAGAACGAAAGUUAGGGGAUCGAAGACGAUCAGAUACCGUCGUAGUCUUAACCAUAAACUAUGCCGACUAGGGAUCGGAUGAUGUUAAUUUUUUAAUGACUCAUUCGGCGCCUUACG
Molecule: ribosomal RNA, 499 nt
Filed under: uncultured Glomeromycotina
Lineage: Eukaryota; Fungi; Glomeromycota
Description: partial small subunit ribosomal RNA
Rfam family: Eukaryotic small subunit ribosomal RNA
Source: RNAcentral